This 490-nucleotide ribosomal RNA is filed under the name uncultured bacterium. RNAcentral describes it as "partial 16S ribosomal RNA". It matches the Rfam family "Bacterial small subunit ribosomal RNA", at positions 29 to 507 of the family's 1533-position model. The record is from RNAcentral.
AGUGAACGCUGGCGGCAGGCCUAACACAUGCAAGUCGAACGGCAGCACAAGAGAGCUUGCUCUCUGAGUGGCGAGUGGCGGACGGGUGAGGAAUGCAUCGGAAUCUGCCCAUUUGUGGGGGAUAACCUCGGGAAACCGGGACUAAUACCGCAUACGACCUACGGGUGAAAGCAGGGGAUCUUCGGACCUUGCGCAGAUGGAUGAGCCGAUGCCGGAUUAGCUAGUUGGAGGGGUAAAGGCCCACCAAGGCGACGAUCCGUAGCUGGUCUGAGAGGAUGAUCAGCCACACUGGGACUGAGACACGGCCCAGACUCCUACGGGAGGCAGCAGUGGGGAAUAUUGGACAAUGGGCGCAAGCCUGAUCCAGCCAUGCCGCGUGUGUGAAGAAGGCCUUCGGGUUGUAAAGCACUUUUGUUGGGAAAGAAAAGCAGCCGGUUAAUACCCGGUUGUCAUGACGGUACCCAAAGAAUAAGCACCGGCUAACUUCGUG